GGAGCCGUAGCGAAAGCGAGUUUUAACUGAGCGUUCAGUUACUUGACGUAGACCCGAAACCGGGCGACCUACCCAUGAGCAGGAUGAAGCGAAAGUAAAAUUUCGUGGAGGUCCGAACCCACGAGCGUUGAAAAGCUCGGGGAUGACUUGUGGGUAGCGGUGAAAUUCCAAUCGAGCCCGGAGAUAGCUGGUUCUCCCCGAAAUAGCUUUAGGGCUAGCCUCAAGGUGAGAGAUACGGAGGUAGAGCACUGAAUGUCCUAGGGGGUAUUGCACCUACCGAAGACUAUCAAACUCCGAAUGCCGUCAUCUUAUACUUGGGAGUCAGACUGUGGGUGAUAAGAUUCAUAGUCGAAAGGGCAACAGCCCAGAUCGUCAGCUAAGGUCCCUAAAUGUAAGUUAAGUGGUAAAGGAUGUGGGAUUGCACAGACAACCAGGAUGUUGGCUUAGAAGCAGCCACUCAUUCAAAGAGUGCGUAAUAGCUCACUGGUCGAGUGAUCCUGCGCCGAAGAUUUCCGGGGCUAAAACUUACUACCGAAGCUACGGCAUCAGUAAUGAUGGGUAGGGGAGCUUCCCAUACGGGUUGAAGCAUGACCGUAAGGACAUGUGGACAGUAUGGGAGUGAGAAUGUUGGCAUGAGUAGCGAGAUGUGGGUGAGAAUCCCACAGGCCGUAAACCCAAGGUUUCCAGGGGAAGGUUCGUCC
This 701-nucleotide ribosomal RNA is filed under the name Clostridioides difficile. Its description in RNAcentral is "partial 23S ribosomal RNA". It matches the Rfam family "Bacterial large subunit ribosomal RNA", at positions 662 to 1371 of the family's 2925-position model. The record is from RNAcentral. Lineage: Bacteria; Bacillati; Bacillota; Clostridia; Peptostreptococcales; Peptostreptococcaceae.